GCUGGCGGCAGGCCUAACACAUGCAAGUCGAGCGGUAGCACAGAGAGCUUGCUCUCGGGUGACGAGCGGCGGACGGGUGAGUAAUGUCUGGGAAACUGCCUGAUGGAGGGGGAUAACUACUGGAAACGGUAGCUAAUACCGCAUAACGUCGCAAGACCAAAGUGGGGGACCUUCGGGCCUCAUGCCAUCAGAUGUGCCCAGAUGGGAUUAGCUAGUAGGUGGGGUAACGGCUCACCUAGGCGACGAUCCCUAGCUGGUCUGAGAGGAUGACCAGCCACACUGGAACUGAGACACGGUCCAGACUCCUACGGGAGGCAGCAGUGGGGAAUAUUGCACAAUGGGCGCAAGCCUGAUGCAGCCAUGCCGCGUGUGUGAAGAAGGCCUUCGGGUUGUAAAGCACUUUCAGCGGGGAGGAAGGCGAUAAGGUUAAUAACCUUGUCGAUUGACGUUACCCGCAGAAGAAGCACCGGCUAACUCCGUGCCAGCAGCCGCGGUAAUACGGAGGGUGCAAGCGUUAAUCGGAAUUACUGGGCGUAAAGCGCACGCAGGCGGUCUGUCAAGUCGGAUGUGAAAUCCCCGGGCUCAACCUGGGAACUGCAUUCGAAACUGGCAGGCUAGAGUCUUGUAGAGGGGGGUAGAAUUCCAGGUGUAGCGGUGAAAUGCGUAGAGAUCUGGAGGAAUACCGGUGGCGAAGGCGGCCCCCUGGACAAAGACUGACGCUCAGGUGCGAAAGCGUGGGGAGCAAACAGGAUUAGAUACCCUGGUAGUCCACGCCGUAAACGAUGUCGAUUUGGAGGUUGUGCCCUUGAGGCGUGGCUUCCGGAGCUAACGCGUUAAAUCGACCGCCUGGGGAGUACGGCCGCAAGGUUAAAACUCAAAUGAAUUGACGGGGGCCCGCACAAGCGGUGGAGCAUGUGGUUUAAUUCGAUGCAACGCGAAGAACCUUACCUGGUCUUGACAUCCACAGAACUUUCCAGAGAUGGAUUGGUGCCUUCGGGAACUGUGAGACAGGUGCUGCAUGGCUGUCGUCAGCUCGUGUUGUGAAAUGUUGGGUUAAGUCCCGCAACGAGCGCAACCCUUAUCCUUUGUUGCCAGCGGUUAGGCCGGGAACUCAAAGGAGACUGCCAGUGAUAAACUGGAGGAAGGUGGGGAUGACGUCAAGUCAUCAUGGCCCUUACGACCAGGGCUACACACGUGCUACAAUGGCAUAUACAAAGAGAAGCGACCUCGCGAGAGCAAGCGGACCUCAUAAAGUAUGUCGUAGUCCGGAUUGGAGUCUGCAACUCGACUCCAUGAAGUCGGAAUCGCUAGUAAUCGUAGAUCAGAAUGCUACGGUGAAUACG
RNAcentral lists this ribosomal RNA (1343 nucleotides) under Klebsiella pneumoniae. Its description in RNAcentral is "bacterial SSU rRNA". It matches the Rfam family "Bacterial small subunit ribosomal RNA", at positions 35 to 1370 of the family's 1533-position model. Lineage: Bacteria; Pseudomonadati; Pseudomonadota; Gammaproteobacteria; Enterobacterales; Enterobacteriaceae. The record is from RNAcentral.